Rhinichthys klamathensis goyatoka is the source of this 669-nucleotide long non-coding RNA. RefSeq lists it as uncharacterized. The record is from RefSeq and is a predicted model, not a curated record. The transcript has 3 exons. Lineage: Eukaryota; Metazoa; Chordata; Actinopteri; Cypriniformes; Leuciscidae.
UUUAUCAACGAGGAGGAUCUGCCAUUUGCAGUGGUUCCGCAAGAGUGGCUCAGCGAGAGCAUGUGCCAUUGGCCCCCAUUUAACCUCAGCAAAAAGACGAAGGCAACAAUUUAGCCAUCCUCUGCACACCUCCACACAGCACCUGGGAGAAACAUCAUUUUAAGUUCAUGAAGGGAGCAGAAUCUUGGAAGUCUCAAGAAAAAAAACUCUAGAAAGAUGCAUCGAUUCCAGAAAACCAGGAAAAUGCUGAACUGGUUUCUCCCCAGUAAUCCAGACUCCACUUCACAGAGCCAAGAGUUUGAGUACAAGUAAGUGAUGUUAUUUGUGAAGUUUUUUUGUCUUGGAAACUAUUGCUUCUAUUUGAAGUCGGCAUGAACCGGAAGUUACAAACGACUUUUCUCCAGUGUUGUGACGUAUUUAAAAAUGAAACAGUAUAUUGAACGGAGGGCAGGGUUUUACUCUAGCGCUCCUCUUCUCCAUCUCUGCUCAUAGCACGGUUUGAGGGGAGUUGCCACGCCCUCGCGCCAUAGCACAUGACCGGAAGAGAAGAGAAGUCGUUUCGAGGGGGGAGGGAAGGGUAACGUAUUUGAUUAAAGAUUAUAAGGCUACAUGAAUUUUAAAAGAAUAAUGAAGUGCACAGAUAAAUCAUUUAUAAUAAACACUACAAUA